GAAGCUGACCAGACAGUCGCCGCUUCGUCGUCGUCCUUUCGGGGAGACGGGCGGAGGGGAGGAAAGUCCGGGCUCCAUAGGGCAGGGUGCCAGGUAACGCCUGGGGGGGGAAACCCACGACCAGUGCAACAGAGAGCAGACCGCCGAUGGCCCACGUAAGUGGGAUCAGGUAAGGGUGAAAGGGUGCGGUAAGAGCGCACCGCGCGGCUGGUAACAGUCCGUGGCACGGUAAACUCCACCCGGAGCAAGGCCAAAUAGGGGUUCAUAAGGUACGGCCCGUACUGAACCCGGGUAGGCUGCUUGAGCCAGUGAGCGAUUGCUGGCCUAGAUGAAUGACUGUCCACGACAGAACCCGGCUUAUCGGUCAGUUUCACU
This 375-nucleotide RNase P RNA is filed under the name Salmonella enterica. Its description in RNAcentral is "RNase P RNA component class A". It matches the Rfam family "Bacterial RNase P class A". From Rfam's summary of the family: Ribonuclease P (RNase P) is a ubiquitous endoribonuclease, found in archaea, bacteria and eukarya as well as chloroplasts and mitochondria. Its best characterised activity is the generation of mature 5'-ends of tRNAs by cleaving the 5'-leader elements of precursor-tRNAs. Lineage: Bacteria; Pseudomonadati; Pseudomonadota; Gammaproteobacteria; Enterobacterales; Enterobacteriaceae. The record is from RNAcentral.